GCCCCUGUAGCUCAACGGAUAGAGCAAUCCCGUCCUAAGGGAGAGAUAGAGGUUCAAUUCCUUUCAGGGGCACCA
This 75-nucleotide transfer RNA is filed under the name Candidatus Uhrbacteria bacterium. RNAcentral's name for it is "tRNA-Arg". It matches the Rfam family "tRNA". From Rfam's summary of the family: Transfer RNA (tRNA) molecules are approximately 80 nucleotides in length. Their secondary structure includes four short double-helical elements and three loops (D, anti-codon, and T loops). Further hydrogen bonds mediate the characteristic L-shaped molecular structure. tRNAs have two regions of fundamental functional importance: the anti-codon, which is responsible for specific mRNA codon recognition, and the 3' end, to which the tRNAs corresponding amino acid is attached (by aminoacyl-tRNA synthetases). tRNAs cope with the degeneracy of the genetic code in two manners: having more than one tRNA (with a specific anti-codon) for a particular amino acid; and 'wobble' base-pairing, i.e. permitting non-standard base-pairing at the 3rd anti-codon position. Lineage: Bacteria; Candidatus Uhriibacteriota. The record is from RNAcentral.